GUCAGCAUAAUGUCAUCAAUGUAAUGGAUGAAUGUUUAUGUCUUCUGGAAGGGGAAGGCAAUCAAAAUCUCUGUGAACUGAUUGUGACAUAGAGCUGGAGAGCUGACACACUCCUAUCAGUGUAGGUAUAUUGCUUGCCUUGCCAGCUAAAGUAAACUGCUUCUGGAAGUCUUCACUAACAGAGAUGGAGAAAAAAGCAUUUGCUGGACCAAUAGCUGCACACCAUGUACCAGGGUUUGUGCUAAUUUCCUCAAGCAAUGAAACUACAUCUGCUACAAUUGAAGUCAACACCUGAUUAAGUUCACGAUAAUCCAUCCACUGUCGUCCUCCAAAAUCCAUCUGUCUUCUGCACAGUCCAAUAGGAUGAAUCACAUCAGUCUCCCAGACAAUGUCUUAAAGAAGAGAAGCAGGAGGAAAGUGAAAUCUAAAAAGAGGCCAUUUGGACCAGCACAUGUGGAGAGUUAAAUAUUGAAUAAACCCUCAAUAAAAAUAA
This is a long non-coding RNA of Homo sapiens (human), 493 nucleotides long. RefSeq lists it as uncharacterized. The record is from RefSeq and is a predicted model, not a curated record. Lineage: Eukaryota; Metazoa; Chordata; Mammalia; Primates; Hominidae. The transcript is spliced from 2 exons.